Callithrix jacchus (white-tufted-ear marmoset) is the source of this 299-nucleotide unclassified non-coding RNA. It matches the Rfam family "Metazoan signal recognition particle RNA". From Rfam's summary of the family: The signal recognition particle (SRP) is a universally conserved ribonucleoprotein. It is involved in the co-translational targeting of proteins to membranes. NCBI's taxonomy places the organism in Eukaryota, Metazoa, Chordata, Mammalia, Primates, Cebidae. The record is from Ensembl.
GCCAGGCCCAGUGGUGCGUGCCUGUAGUCCCAGCUACUCAGGAGGCUGAGGUGGGAGGAUCACUUGAGCCCAGGAGUUCUGGGCUGUAGCGUUAUAUGCGAUCGGGUUUCCACACUAAGUUCACCAUCAAUAUGGUGACCUCCUGGGAGCUGGGGACCACCAGGUUGCCUUAGGAGGGGUGAACCGGCCCAGGUCGGAAAUGGAGCAGGUCAUAACUCCCGUGCUGAUCAGUAGUGGGAUCGCACCUGUGAAUAGCCACUGCACUCCAGCCUGGGCAAUAUAGCGAGACCCUGUCUCUA